CCUACGGGAGGCAGCAGUGAGGAAUAUUGGUCAAUGGACGAGAGUCUGAACCAGCCAAGUAGCGUGAAGGAUGACUGCCCUAUGGGUUGUAAACUUCUUUUAUAUGGGAAUAAAAUGUUCCACGUGUGGGAUUUUGUAUGUACCAUAUGAAUAAGGAUCGGCUACCUCCGUGCCAGCAGCCGCGGUAAUACGGAGGAUCCGAGCGUUAUCCGGAUUUAUUGGGUUUAAAGGGAGCGUAGGUGGAUUGUUAAGUCAGUUGUGAAAGUUUGCGGCUCAACCGUAAAAUUGCAGUUGAAACUGGCAGUCUUGAGUACAGUAGAGGUGGGCGGAAUUCGUGGUGUAGCGGUGAAAUGCUUAGAUAUCACGAAGAACUCCGAUUGCGAAGGCAGUUCACUGGACUGCAACUGACACUGAGGCGCGAAAGUGUGGGUAUCAAACAGGAUUAGAUACCCGAGUAGUC
This 460-nucleotide ribosomal RNA is filed under the name uncultured bacterium. RNAcentral describes it as "partial 16S ribosomal RNA". It matches the Rfam family "Bacterial small subunit ribosomal RNA", at positions 338 to 795 of the family's 1533-position model. The record is from RNAcentral.